This 507-nucleotide ribosomal RNA is filed under the name uncultured bacterium. RNAcentral's name for it is "partial 16S ribosomal RNA". The record is from RNAcentral.
GGAGUUAGCCGGUGCUUCUUCUGUGAGUGAUGUCCUUCCUGCCGGCUAUUAACCCGCAGGCCUUCUUCCUCACUGAAAGUGCUUUACAACCCGAAGGCCUUCUUCACACACGCGGCAUGGCUGGAUCAGGGUUGCCCCCAUUAUCCAAUAUUCCCCACUGCUGCCUCCCGUAGGAGUCUGGGCCGUGUCUCAGUCCCAGUGUGGCUGAUCAUCCUCUCAGACCAGCUACGGAUCGUCGCCUUGGUGAGCCGUUACCUCACCAACCAGCUAAUCCGACAUAGGCUCAUCCGAUAGCGCGAGGCCCGAAGGUCCCCCGCUUUCCCCCGUAGGGCGUAUGCGGUAUUAGCCUGGGUUUCCCCAGGUUAUCCCCCACUACCGGGCAGAUUCCUAUGCAUUACUCACCCGUCCGCCGCUCGCCACCAGGGAGCAAGCUCCCCGUGCUGCCGCUCGACUUGCAUGUGUUAGGCCUGCCGCCAGCGUUCAAUCUGAGCCAGGAUCAAACUCUGA